UGUGGGUGAGAAGGUUCAAGUAUACAUUACACGUCCCCUCCCAAGGCAAUGGAAGUUAGCAGUUGUCCGUA
Molecule: transfer RNA, 71 nt
Filed under: Bigelowiella sp. RCC560
Lineage: Eukaryota; Cercozoa; Chlorarachniophyceae
Source: RNAcentral